Molecule: ribosomal RNA, 393 nt
Filed under: uncultured bacterium
Lineage: Bacteria
Description: bacterial SSU rRNA
Rfam family: Bacterial small subunit ribosomal RNA
Source: RNAcentral
AUUGAACGCUGGCGGCAUGCCUUACACAUGCAAGUCGAACGGCAGCGGACCUUCGGGUGCCGGCGAGUGGCGAACGGGUGAGUAAUAUAUCGGAACGUACCUUUCAGUGGGGGAGUAACGUAGCGAAAGUUACGCUAAUACCGCAUAUUCUGUGAGCAGGAAAGCAGGGGAUCGCAAGACCUUGCGCUGAUUGAGCGGCCGAUAUCAGAUUAGCUAGUUGGUGAGGUAAAGGCUCACCAAGGCGACGAUCUGUAGCGGGUCUGAGAGGAUGAUCCGCCACACUGGAACUGAGACACGGGUCCAGACUCCUACGGGAGGCAGCAGUGGGGAAUUUUGGACAAUGGGCGCAAGCCUGAUCCAGCCAUGCCGCGUGAGUGAAGAAGGCCUCGGUUG